GAUAAUUUAACUAACCAUCGCCGAUUUUUUCUCACUAAAGCGACACAUAUCUCUCGUGAUACAGACGCGGCGGCGUGCGGCCAUGGCGUGAUCCAUCGGCGAUUCGGCCGCGACGCCGGCACGAUCCAUCGGGGAUUCGGCCACGACGCGAGGUGCGGUGGCUACAGGCAAUCCGGCGACGACGGCGUGGUGGUUCAUAGGCCGAUCGUCCUCAUUGUUGUGAGCCAGGCGUACGAGAACCGUAUCAAUCAUGGCAGAGGUUUCCGGGCUUUCGGCCAUAACCUGGAGGCAAACCGUCCAACGAUGGCAGCUGCUCACACGGAUCCUCGAUCGACGAUGGUGUCUAGUCAAUGAAUCACGGCCACAACGUCCGGUAGAAACGCAUACUGCACCAUGUCUAUGGUUAUUUGAUUUCAGGUUCAGAGCUAAUAUCGAUCUGCCAAAAAUCAGAGGCGACACGUAAGGCAUUUGUUCCAACCUCCCAGAGAACUGAAUAGAUUCUGAAUUUUUCAGCAGCAUAUAUAUCUACCUCUUAUUUCUUUUUCUCUAUUUUUCAAUCGACUAGUUGAUUCGGAAUCCUGUGAGCAUGAGCUCAUAUAUACCUCUUGUUUUUUGUAUUUGUAGAUGAAUUUUGUAUCAUACUUCUAAAUUUUGCUCGUGAAAAAGCAUAUAAUACUGCACACAUGAAAAGC
Molecule: long non-coding RNA, 692 nt
Filed under: Oryza sativa tropical japonica subgroup
Lineage: Eukaryota; Viridiplantae; Streptophyta; Magnoliopsida; Poales; Poaceae
Description: lncRNA OsKeNa_09g0000570
Source: RNAcentral